GGGCAAUAGCAUGAGGACCCUUUCCCUCCCCAUCUCCCAAGGAAAUAGCCCAUGGAGGCAGAGUGGAGCAGGGAAAAGAAACAGAUCAGUAAAAUGACCUGAGGGAGAAAUUACACCCCCACCUGCUUCACUUAUCUAUCUAUCUAUCUAUCUAUCUAUCCAUCCAUCUAUCUAUCUAUCCAUUUAUUUAUUUUUUAAAAAAAAUAUACCACUUAACUAAUUGCCCCAUAAGGGUGUUUGAGUAAUAAAACGCAGAAAAGAUUUUUAAAAAUGAUUAAAAUGAGAUUUCUGUCAAAAUGCUCGCUGGAAUUUUUUUUUAAAGGUUUUGGGCAGGUGCCAGAAGUUCAGCAGGGAAGAGGACCUGUCUGACCUCAACUGGAAGGAAGGGUUGGGCCUACAAUACUGACUGCGCAGCUCCUGGUGGAUAAGGGCCAUAAAUCUGAGUAAAACCAGCCCUGAGGCUGGUGGCAGUCAGGGGGGCUUAUCUGAUCUCCAGCUGCUGGAGGCACUGCUAGGAGCAGGUGAAGCAGUGACAACUUUGGCAAAGGAGCAGUUUCCAGUGUUUCCACCUUGCAGCCACCUUGCUCCUCUUCUUCCCAGUAAGCUGCAGUGACGCAUAAGAUGCUCUGCCAACCGCUACUGCCUGUGGCUAUGCUACAUUUAGUUAAAAUUUGGCCUCAAGCCUUCUAGUUAUGGGGAAUGAAAAAAAAGAAGCCCGAAAUAAACUACUGACUGGAAACUAGCUACAUUUGAUUUAAUACAGAAUUCCUGAAAUGUUUAUUGGUGUUUUUAUAUAAGUAUUCAGCGCCAUAUUGCCAUGUCACACCAGAGAAGAAGCGCAAAUGCUUUUAUUUAUUUAUUAGUUUGUUUUCAAAGAGUGCAGGCAUUUCUUUUCUGGUUUUUGUUUUAUUUUUGCAGUGGGGGUGGGAUUGUUUUAUGUUGUCACAAUCUGCAAUAUCCCCGCAUUGCUGGAGUCUAUUAAGAUGACACCGUGGUCAGAUCUGUUCGAACUGUUGUGAUAAAUCCUUGGAGAAGGCUCGUGGGGGAAAGAAAGGGAAGCAAGAAAAGAAAAUGAGCAAAGCAAGAGCUGUUAAGAGUGAGGAUGUUUUCAAAAAGUAGGUCAGAGUUUAACUUUCUUUUAAAACAAAGAGGUCAUAUUCAUGGGACAGUCUCUAUCUCCCACCCUCUUCCCCUGGGGUUGAGAAGUGUAACCAUCACUUUUGCUUCCAGAGAUCAUCAUGUGUGACAUCGCUUAAUGUUUGUUGGUGUAAGGCUUUAAAACUGGACCAGCUUUAACUUGAGUUUGUUGGCCUUCAUAACCAAGCAAAGAAGACAACUUCACAUCUUCUCAAGGAACUUGUUCCAUUGCCUACUUAUUGGAGCUACAAUGUUCACUCAGUUUAUUAGACCAACAUGAUUUUCUUAACCAGGUGACAAUCCUACCAGUUACUGUUUCAGUUAGGGAAAAUGCCUAAUAUAGUCAACUUAAAGCUUGCCACCACAGAGUGUCUUACCCAUAAAGGCACAUUCUACUUAUUUUAAUAGGAGCGUUGCAUGCAAAGAUGGAGAUUUGCAUUGUAAAGCGGUUUACAAUACUUCGUGUUAUGGCUUUGAAACAAAAAUUGCAUUUGGUUCUAGUGUUUCCUAGGAGAGUUUAACCAACCUAUGCUUCCCCCUGUCUUUUUCCAGUUGGCUGAAUAUUUAUCAUUUUGUAAAUCAGAAGUUUAGUAUGGACUGAAGGAAUAGAGUCCUAGAAGGCUGCUCAGAGGCAUCAUAAGUAGUCUGCUUUUCGAGUCAUCCUGACUUUGAAAAAGAAACAUUAAGGUAUCAUUUACUCCAUUGACCUGACUUUCCAUAGAGAGAACAGUUAAUGAAAGACCCCAUUGUGUGUUCAUACAGUUAAGUACAGACUACUAGAAAGAUUUUAUGGACAUAGCCAUAAAAAGAGCCUGUAGGCCAAAACCGAUCUUACAGUUACUUUUCUGUUAUACAACUGGAAGCACCUGCUCCAUUGCAAUGCCUUUUGAAAACUAUCAUUUUUUAAAGUCCUUAUCUGUACCCAAGCUACCCCCUGUAAUGAUCCACUGUAUUCCAUGCAUGUCUAUAUGUGGGAAGCUAUUCAGAAUUCCCAAGUUAUUAGCUGCGUUGAUAUUUGAAAUAUGGACUUGGAUUCCUGUGCUUAUUUCACAAAAUGAGAUAGAAAAGUCAAUAUAAGGUUGGAUAAUUGAAGAGCCAAUAUAACAGUGGGGGAAUUAAAUACUACAGCUAAGACCACAUUCCUGUGGACACUUUAUUACACACAGUGGGAUUUUACUUCUGAGUAAACAUGCAUAGGAUUGUCCUGUUAAUGGCUCUUCUGUAGUACCAGGAAGCCAUGCUCUGAUAUGUGGGUGGAGCAGGAAAUGAUGUCACAGUAAUGGAAUUGUUGGCUUGUUCGAGUGUAAGGUGUUGGAUUGUUGGAGUGUAAGGUGAGAAUAAUCUUUCUGCCAUUUAUUAGCCAUUUUAUGAUAGGGACCCAAACUGUGAUUUUGGGGGGGAGGUAGUGGUUUGGAUUAUUAGAGUAGACCCAUUGAAAUGAAGAAUUGUUAGUCCUUCUGAUUUCCGUGGGUGUGCUCUAAGCCUGACUAUGUCUGGAUCCAACCCAGAAUAUAGUGCAAGGACAUCUGUUGUUUGUCUGAGCUAUAUUUGAGAAGCAGGGGAGAUUUUGUAGCUUCCUACUGCACUUCUUUGUAAAUCUGUUCUCACCCUAAAUAAGUCUCUUCUGAAGCAUGUUGCUUUCUUGUUUGCCUUUAUUUGUUUUGACAACUUUGCCAACAUGUUAUGGCGGUGUCUGGCUUUCUAAGCUUUUAGUAAAUCUUGAUAGAACUGAAGAUGUACAAAGUAAAGCC
RNAcentral lists this long non-coding RNA (2888 nucleotides) under Podarcis lilfordi (Lilford's wall lizard). The record is from RNAcentral. Lineage: Eukaryota; Metazoa; Chordata; Lepidosauria; Squamata; Lacertidae.